GAGGGUAUAGCUCAAGUGCUAGAGUGCAUGCUUAGCAUGCAUGAGGUCUUGUGUUCAAUCCCCAGUACCUCCU
Molecule: transfer RNA, 73 nt
Filed under: Camelus bactrianus (Bactrian camel)
Lineage: Eukaryota; Metazoa; Chordata; Mammalia; Artiodactyla; Camelidae
Also listed under: 3 other names
Rfam family: tRNA
About the family: Transfer RNA (tRNA) molecules are approximately 80 nucleotides in length. Their secondary structure includes four short double-helical elements and three loops (D, anti-codon, and T loops).
Source: Rfam by way of RNAcentral